Molecule: ribosomal RNA, 439 nt
Filed under: uncultured bacterium
Lineage: Bacteria
Description: partial 16S ribosomal RNA
Rfam family: Bacterial small subunit ribosomal RNA
Source: RNAcentral
CUACGGGUUGCAGCAGUGAGGAAUAUUGCACAAUGGGGGGAACCCUGAUGCAGCAACGCCGCGUGGAGGAUGACGCAUUUCGGUGUGUAAACUCCUUUUAUAUGUCAAGAAAAUGACGGUAGCAUAUGAAUAAGCGCCGGCUAACUCCGUGCCAGCAGCCGCGGUAAUACGGAGGGCGCAAGCGUUACUCGGAAUCACUGAGCGUAAAGGACGCGUAGGCGGGUUGAAAAGUCAGGUGUGAAAGCCUACAGCUUAACUGUAGAACUGCACUUGAAACUCUCAACCUAGAGUAUGGGAGGGGCAGAUGGAAUUAGUGGUGUAGGGGUAAAAUCCGUAGAUAUCACUAGGAAUACCUAAAGCGAAGGCGAUCUGCUGGAACAUUACUGACGCUAAGGCGUGAAAGCGUGGGGAGCAAACAGGAUUAGAUACCCGUGUAGUC